RNAcentral lists this ribosomal RNA (2196 nucleotides) under Campylobacter coli. RNAcentral's name for it is "partial 23S ribosomal RNA". It matches the Rfam family "Bacterial large subunit ribosomal RNA", at positions 1 to 2195 of the family's 2925-position model. The record is from RNAcentral. Lineage: Bacteria; Pseudomonadati; Campylobacterota; Epsilonproteobacteria; Campylobacterales; Campylobacteraceae.
AAAAAAGGUAAGCUACUAAGAGCGAAUGGUGGAUGCCUUGACUGGUAAAGGCGAUGAAGGACGUACUAGACUGCGAUAAGCUACGGGGAGCUGUCAAGAAGCUUUGAUCCGUAGAUUUCCGAAUGGGGCAACCCAAUGUAUAGAGAUAUACAUUACCUAUAUAGGAGCGAACGAGGGGAAUUGAAACAUCUUAGUACCCUCAGGAAAAGAAAUCAAUAGAGAUUGCGUCAGUAGCGGCGAGCGAAAGCGCAAGAGGGCAAACCCAGUGCUUGCACUGGGGGUUGUAGGACUGCAAUGUGCAAGAGGUGAGUUUAGCAGAACAUUCUGGAAAGUAUAGCCAUAGAGGGUGAUAGUCCCGUAUGCGAAAAACAAACCUUAGCUAGCAGUAUCCUGAGUAGGGCGGGACACGAGGAAUCCUGUCUGAAUCCGGGUCGACCACGAUCCAACCCUAAAUACUAAUACCAGAUCGAUAGUGCACAAGUACCGUGAGGGAAAGGUGAAAAGAACUGAGGUGAUCAGAGUGAAAUAGAACCUGAAACCAUUUGCUUACAAUCAUUCAGAGCCCUAUGUAGCAAUACAGGGUGAUGGACUGCCUUUUGCAUAAUGAGCCUGCGAGUUGUGGUGUCUGGCAAGGUUAAGCAAACGCGAAGCCGUAGCGAAAGCGAGUCUGAAUAGGGCGCUUAGUCAGAUGCUGCAGACCCGAAACGAAGUGAUCUAUCCAUGAGCAAGUUGAAGCUAGUGUAAGAACUAGUGGAGGACUGAACCCAUAGGCGUUGAAAAGCCCCGGGAUGACUUGUGGAUAGGGGUGAAAGGCCAAUCAAACUUCGUGAUAGCUGGUUCUCUCCGAAAUAUAUUUAGGUAUAGCGUUGUGUCGUAAUAUAAGGGGGUAGAGCACUGAAUGGGCUAGGGCAUACACCAAUGUACCAAACCCUAUCAAACUCCGAAUACCUUAUAUGUAAUCACAGCAGUCAGGCGGCGAGUGAUAAAAUCCGUCGUCAAGAGGGAAACAACCCAGACUACCAGCUAAGGUCCCUAAAUCUUACUUAAGUGGAAAACGAUGUGAAGUUACUUAAACAACCAGGAGGUUGGCUUAGAAGCAGCCAUCCUUUAAAGAAAGCGUAAUAGCUCACUGGUCUAGUGAUUUUGCGCGGAAAAUAUAACGGGGCUAAAGUAAGUACCGAAGCUGUAGACUUGAUUUUAUCAAGUGGUAGGAGAGCGUUCUAUUUGCGUCGAAGGUAUACCGGUAAGGAGUGCUGGAGCGAAUAGAAGUGAGCAUGCAGGCAUGAGUAGCGAUAAUUAAUGUGAGAAUCAUUAACGCCGUAAACCCAAGGUUUCCUACGCGAUGCUCGUCAUCGUAGGGUUAGUCGGGUCCUAAGUCGAGUCCGAAAGGGGUAGACGAUGGCAAAUUGGUUAAUAUUCCAAUACCAACAUUAGUGUGCGAUGGAAGGACGCUUAGGGCUAAGGGGGCUAGCGGAUGGAAGUGCUAGUCUAAGGUCGUAGGAGGUUAUACAGGCAAAUCCGUAUAACAAUACUCCGAGAACUGAAAGGCUUUUUGAAGUCUUCGGAUGGAUAGAAGAACCCCUGAUGCCAUCGAGCCAAGAAAAGUUUCUAAGUUUAGCUAAUGUUGCCCGUACCGUAAACCGACACAGGUGGGUGGGAUGAGUAUUCUAAGGCGCGUGGAAGAACUCUCUUUAAGGAACUCUGCAAAAUAGCACCGUAUCUUCGGUAUAAGGUGUGGUUCGCUUCGUAUUAGGAUUUACUCCGAAAGCGAAGAAACUUACAACAAAGAGUCCCUCCCGACUGUUUACCAAAAACACAGCACUCUGCUAACUCGUAAGAGGAUGUAUAGGGUGUGACGCCUGCCCGGUGCUCGAAGGUUAAUUGAUGGGGUUAGCAUUAGCGAAGCUCUUGAUCGAAGCCCGAGUAAACGGCGGCCGUAACUAUAACGGUCCUAAGGUAGCGAAAUUCCUUGUCGGUUAAAUACCGACCUGCAUGAAUGGCGUAACGAGAUGGGAGCUGUCUCAAAGAGGGAUCCAGUGAAAUUGUAGUGGAGGUGAAAAUUCCUCCUACCCGCGGCAAGACGGAAAGACCCCGUGGACCUUUACUACAGCUUGACACUGCUAUUUGGAUAAGAAUGUGCAGGAUAGGUGGGAGGCUUUGAGUAUAUGACGCCAGUUGUAUAUGAGCCAUUGUUGA